RNAcentral lists this unclassified non-coding RNA (233 nucleotides) under plant metagenome. Its description in RNAcentral is "partial contains small subunit ribosomal RNA, internal transcribed spacer 1, and 5.8S ribosomal RNA". The record is from RNAcentral.
UUUCCGUAGGUGAACCUGCGGAAGGAUCAUUACUGAGUGAGGGCCCUCUGGGUCCAACCUCCCACCCGUGUUUAUUGUACCUUGUUGCUUCGGUGAGCCCGCCUCACGGCCGCCGGGGGGCAUCUGCCCCCGGGCCCGCGCUCGCCGAAGACACCUUGAACUCUGUCUGAAGUUUGCAGUCUGAGCGAAAACUAAAUAAGUUAAAACUUUCAACAACGGAUCUCUUGGUUCCG